This 348-nucleotide ribosomal RNA is filed under the name Boletina plana. RNAcentral describes it as "partial 16S ribosomal RNA". The record is from RNAcentral. Lineage: Eukaryota; Metazoa; Arthropoda; Insecta; Diptera; Mycetophilidae.
AAAGGCUGCGGUAUUUUGACCGUACAAAGGUAGCAUAAUCAUUAGUUUUUUAAUUGAAAGCUUGUAUGAAUGGUUUAAUGAGAUAUUUUCUGUUUCAUAAAAAUUUUUAUAGAAAUUAAUUUUUUAGUUAAAAAGCUAAAAUAUAUUUAAAAGACGAGAAGACCCUAUAGAGUUUUAUAUAAAUUUUUUUAUAGUUUAUUUAUAAUAAUUAAAAUUUUAUUUAAAUUUAUAUUUUGUUGGGGUGACAAUAAAAUUUUAUAAUCUUUUAUUAUUUUUUAAACAAUAAUUAUUGAAUGAUUGAUCCAUUUUUAGUGAUUAAAAGAUUAAAUUACCUUAGGGAUAACAGCG